UAGUCCGUACGAGCGCACCCUUGUCCCUAGUUGCCAGCACUUCGGGUGGGAACUCUAGGGAGACUGCCGGUGAUAAACCGGAGGAAGGUGGGGAUGACGUCAAGUCAUCAUGGCCCUUAUGGGGAGGGCUACACACGUGCUACAAUGGCCGGUACAGAGGGCGGCGAAGCCGCGAGGUGGAGCGAAUCUCAGAAAACCGGUCGUAGUCCGGAUUGCAGUCUGCAACUCGACUGCAUGAAGCCGGAAUCGCUAGUAAUCGCGGAUCAGAACGCCGCGGUGAAUACGUUCCCGGGCCUUGUACACACCGCCCGUCACACCAUGGGAGUGGGCUGUACCAGAAGUAGGUAGUCUAACCUUCGGGAGGACGCUUACCACGGUGUGGUUCAUGACUGGGGUGAAGUCGUAACAAGGUAGCCCUAGGGGAACCUGGGGCUGGAUCACCUCCUUU
This 448-nucleotide ribosomal RNA is filed under the name uncultured Chromatiales bacterium. RNAcentral describes it as "bacterial SSU rRNA". It matches the Rfam family "Bacterial small subunit ribosomal RNA", at positions 1082 to 1533 of the family's 1533-position model. Lineage: Bacteria; Pseudomonadati; Pseudomonadota; Gammaproteobacteria; Chromatiales. The record is from RNAcentral.